Musca domestica (house fly) is the source of this 732-nucleotide long non-coding RNA. RefSeq lists it as uncharacterized. Lineage: Eukaryota; Metazoa; Arthropoda; Insecta; Diptera; Muscidae. The transcript has 2 exons. The record is from RefSeq and is a predicted model, not a curated record.
UUCCAAAUCGUUACGAUUUGCUUUUGCUUCUUCAGCACUCGUACGUUUUGACUAAUCCGGAAAAAAAAUCAUUUCACAUUUUUGAAAUAAAAAUAUGGUAACUCCAUGAAAAAAAAGUCGUAAACAAAUUAUUGACAAUUAAAAAAGGAGUUUAAAUUGUUUUUUAUAAUAUAAACACCAAAAAUAAAAAUGCCAGGGGCUUCAAUACUUGCUGUAAUGGAUGAAGAAAUAAAUCAGCGGUCUACUGAAAAAAUUCGUCGCCGGACAUUGAGGAACGCAUCAGAUCCUUUAUCUCACUCAAAUGCAGAAUUUAUAACUUAUUAUCGGCUAAAUAAAGAAGCUUUUGUUUUAGUUUUGGAAAAAAUUUCUCCCCACCUCAAUCGUUCCAAUAUACCGGCUAUUAUCCAGCUUGCAACAACGCUUAGGUUUUUGGCUACGGGUGCAUUUCAAGGAGUUAUAGGUAGAGAUGUGGAGCUAAGCCUUGGGAGAAGUACAGUUUCUACAAUUAUGUGGAGAGUUAUUAAUGCAAUUGAAGCUGUCUCAAACCAAGCAAUUAAUUGCUUGCAAUUUGCUUUUUGAUCUGUCAGUUGUACAUUUCUACACCUUCUUCUUCAACACAUAUGGCAAUAAUUCAACAAUACAAGUCUGCCGUUCAUUUCUGCAUAUUUUUUUGCGUUUUCAUCAUGGAUUAGAAAAAUAAUAGAUUUUUUGUAAAAUAAAUUCCAAAAACAU